Molecule: long non-coding RNA, 914 nt
Filed under: Ursus maritimus (polar bear)
Lineage: Eukaryota; Metazoa; Chordata; Mammalia; Carnivora; Ursidae
Description: lncRNA (ENSUMAG00000002518.1)
Source: RNAcentral
CUUCAAGCCACAACCAUCUUUCAUCUUGGCAGAGGGGGGCGUGGUGGUUGAAUAAAGCCUCCAGCACUCCCUACCCACCCUUCCUCUCUUCCGGCUCCCCUUGAACAUUUUCUGGGUGUCAGAUACUCUAACAGAAUCUGCUCUUUGAAUUGGAUUCAAGUUCAGCUCUAACUAGGUGUUCACAUUCACAGCCUGCUGACAAGAUCAGAGCAGCUAUGACUCUGCUGGAGGCUGUUAACACCCAAGACUGUACUAACUUCAUUAGGCUCAAAUCUCUACCUUUGAAAUAUGCAAUAUGCUCUAUGGAAGGAAAGGGAACAUAUGCAAUGGAAGGAGGUCUUUCGGCUGAGCCACACCAGACAAUCUGAAACUUUCUACCGGAGUAACACAAAUGGAAAUGGAAAUAUAAUGUGGCUUAAAUAUUUUUUGAACAUUACUCUGAAGACCUCUGUAUUAGAAUCAUCUGUGGUACUUCUUUAAAAUGCAAAUUCUUGGGGGGCCUGGGUGGCUCAGUCAGUUAAACAUCUGACUCUUGAUUUUGGCUUGGGUCAUGAUCUCAGGGUGUUGGGAUCGAGCCCCACUCAGGGCUCUGUGCUCAGUGGGGAGUCUGCUUGAGACUCUCUCCCUCUCCCUUUGCCCCCCUCCCUAAAAAAUACAAUGCAAAUUCUUGGCUAGCUUCAGACCUGCAGAAUGUGAGGGUUCUUCAAAAUUUGAAAACCACUGAUGGAGAUAUUUAACUAUUCCUUGUUUCAGAAAGCAUUCUGAUCCACCUCAAAACCAGAUUUGUUAGCUUUUCCCACAUUCUUCUUUCUUCAAAUUACCUUUAUGUUGUAAUUGCUACCCUGAGGGCAGGGGCUGUGUUUUGUUGUCCAUUGUAUUCUCAGAAUUCAGCACAGUAACUUAGAUGUGUAAAC